GCCCUCUUUGUCUAAUGGUUAUGACGUCAGACUUCUACGCCAUAGCCGUGAUCUGGAGGUUGCGAGUUCGAGUCUCGCAGGGGGUA
Non-coding RNA from Abortiporus biennis, 86 nucleotides. Lineage: Eukaryota; Fungi; Basidiomycota; Agaricomycetes; Polyporales; Podoscyphaceae. The record is from the annotation of a GenBank genome assembly.